UACGGAGGAUGCAAGCGUUAUCCGGAAUGAUUGGGCGUAAAGCGUCCGCAGGUGGCUGUGUAAGUCUGCUGUCAAAGAGCGAAGCUCAACUUCGUAAAGGCAGUGGAAACUACACGGCUAGAGUGCGUUCGGGGCAGAGGGAAUUCCUGGUGUAGCGGUGAAAUGCGUAGAGAUCAGGAAGAACACCAGUGGCGAAGGCGGCCGACUGGACGGCACCUGACGCUGAGGCGCGAAAGUGUGGGGAGCAAACGGG
This 253-nucleotide ribosomal RNA is filed under the name uncultured bacterium. RNAcentral's name for it is "partial 16S ribosomal RNA". It matches the Rfam family "Bacterial small subunit ribosomal RNA", at positions 524 to 776 of the family's 1533-position model. The record is from RNAcentral.